This 371-nucleotide ribosomal RNA is filed under the name uncultured Glomeromycotina. RNAcentral describes it as "eukaryotic LSU rRNA". The record is from RNAcentral. Lineage: Eukaryota; Fungi; Glomeromycota.
UUGAAAGGGAAACGAUUGAAGUCAGUCGUACCGACGAGAAAUCAGCUUAUCGUGUGUUAACUUGUGGGCGUGCGUGAGUUUCGGCCUCGCUGUUUGCAUGUUUGUGCGCUUUGGGUGUACUUUUUCGUAUGGUUGGCCAACAUCAGUUUCGAUCACUAUAAAAUGACUGGCGGAAUGUAGCUUCGAUUUCGGUUGAAGUGUUAUAGCCUCUGGUAGAUGUGGUAAUUGGGACUGAGGAUUGCAACGAAUAUCCUUUGGGCUAUCCGUCUGGCCUCUGAAAGUUGCUCGGGUGCUGAAAGCUUGCUUAUGGUUAUCUAAGUUAACGGUCAAUAGGUUAGAACGCGAUUACAUUCGUUAAGGAUGUUGACGUA